AUUGAACGCUGGCGGCAGGCCUAACACAUGCAAGUCGAGCGAGCGACGGACGGGUGAGUAAUGUAUGGGGUCUGCCCGAUAGAGGGUGAUAACUACUGGAAACGGUGGCUAAUCCCGCAUACUAUCGGAUAACCCAUAUGGGAUUAGCUAGUAGGUGGGGUAAAGGCUCACCUAGGCGCCGAUCUCUAGCUGGUCUGAGAGGAUGAUCAGCCGCACGGGGACAUGGACAGCGACGAGACUCCUACGGAGGGAGGAGUUGUGAAUGUUGCACAAGAGGGGCAAGCAUGAUGCAGCCAUCCCGAGUGUAUGAAGCAGGCCUUAUGGUUGUAAAGUACUUUCAGCGGGGAGGCGUUACCCGCAGAAGAAGCACCGGCUAACUCCGUGCCAGCCGCCGCGGUAAUAC
This 403-nucleotide ribosomal RNA is filed under the name uncultured bacterium. RNAcentral describes it as "partial 16S ribosomal RNA". It matches the Rfam family "Bacterial small subunit ribosomal RNA", at positions 30 to 526 of the family's 1533-position model. The record is from RNAcentral.